GGAUGGUUGACUAGUGACAAUUCUACUCCGUUAGUGGAUGUGUUUACAGAAGCUAGUGGCGACAUGGUUGAUCUUCAUAUUUCCACUGUUUUCCAAGCCCUGCACUGUGAGGAAAAUUAUAUUCGAAUUCAGGUGUAUAUCACGCUCAUGUGGUUAUUCAAGAUAGCAAAUUAUAUUCUCCAACGAAGUAAUUAAAACUGGAAGCUAGAAAACGAAGAACCCUGACUAUAAGAUAUGUGUGAAAUGCAGGAUGACACGCUGACCGGAACACUUUCGUCCGUGGAUGUUGCCACGAAAGAGAAUUUGGAGAAUCUUGUGAAAGUGGGUGAGAAAUUGUUGAAAAAACCAGUAUCAAGGGUGGAUUUAGGCACUGGAGUCUUUACACCUGUUGAUAAGAUGACAAAUGAAGAGGCUCUCAUAAAGUAUAUAUCUGCUCAAGUCUAUAUAUUAUAGUGAUUUCUAUGGCAUCUUAUUUCAUCUUGCUGAUUUUUUUUUGUUUGACUGGAUAGGAUGGCUAAAUUACUGUCAAGGGAGAAGCAUCUUCGUUAUUCUAGGUCACCAGUUGGAAAAGUUGCUACUUCGAAGUGAAUAUGAUUCGUAAACUAGAUUGUCCAGAAAAUUAAUUAGGCGCAAAUUAAUAAAUUUGGAAGAAACAGCAGGGAGAUCAUCUGCAUUAUGUAAUUCUGCUGUUUUUCUUUUUUUUAUUGUUACAAGAAAUGAAUAAUAUGUAAUUCUUUCCGUCGUUAAAAAUGAAUCAUCGCAGAAUGCUGUUGCACUUUUAAAAAUAUUUUUGCUUGCUCAUCUUCUUAUAAUUUUGUUUACCUUUUGUUCUUCUUGCCUUGUGGUCUGACAACUCAACGUGUUUAUCGUUCUUCUAAACAUACAUACAUACAUCAAUACACACACACACACACACACAUGUAGUUUGUUCACGUUCUCUAAUAUUUAGCUGCUGAUCAUAGCCAAACGUACUUAUUCUUUCUGAUCUUGGAUAUGAUCAUAUCCAUUGAUUCUUACAUAGAAUCUUUAUCGAAAUUAGAUGGUUCACUUUGCUGUUUCCUAGUUUUUCCUUAACAAGACCAUGUAGAUAUUUUCCUCGUAUUUUUUCUGACAAUGCUUUGAUUACCUUUGUCACAUAAGGAAAUAAUGAGCAGCUACCCGAAAGAUAAAAGAAAACGACUAUCCAAAAGAUAAAAUAGCACAUAUUUCACCCAUAAAUUGUUUCUCCGAAUUGGAUAGCCAGCCAGAGAAACGAAUUUUACCUGGGUUGUGGAAAGAGCUUCGGACACUGAUUCAGGCAAAAAUCCUUGAUGUCUUUGGCAGCAUAUAUAGAAGUGAAAGAGAGACCCUGCAGGGAGAAAAUUAAAUUAUAUUGUUUUCUUGAGAAAAGGGAUAGAAAUAUAAGUAAGAAAGACUUGCAGGUGAGACUUCAC
RNAcentral lists this long non-coding RNA (1433 nucleotides) under Populus trichocarpa (black cottonwood). RNAcentral describes it as "long non-coding RNA (PTRI_LNC003218)". The record is from RNAcentral. Lineage: Eukaryota; Viridiplantae; Streptophyta; Magnoliopsida; Malpighiales; Salicaceae.